UGGGGAAUAUUGCACAAUGGGGGAAACCCUGAUGCAGCGACGCCGCGUGAGCGAAGAAGGCUUUCGAGUCGUAAAGCUCUGUCCUAUGAGAAGAUAAUGACGGUAUCAUAGGAGGAAGCCCUGGCUAAAUACGUGCCAGCAGCCGCGGUAAUACGUAUGGGGCGAGCGUUGUCCGGAAUUAUUGGGCGUAAAGGGUACGUAGGCGGUCUAUUAAGUCAGGUGUGAAAGCGUGAGGCUUAACCUCAUUAAGCACUUGAAACUGAUAGACUUGAGUGAAGGGGAGGAAAGUGGAAUUCCUAGUGUAGCGGUGAAAUGCGUAGAUAUUAGGAGGAAUACCGGUGGCGAAGGCGACUUGCUGGACUUUUACUGACGCUCAGGUACGAAAGCGUGGGGAGCAAACAGG
Molecule: ribosomal RNA, 403 nt
Filed under: Verrucomicrobiota bacterium
Lineage: Bacteria; Pseudomonadati; Verrucomicrobiota
Description: Verrucomicrobia bacterium partial 16S ribosomal RNA
Rfam family: Bacterial small subunit ribosomal RNA
Source: RNAcentral